AAAAGACGAAAAGAUAAAAAGAAAUACUGAAUUCCAAAAUUAGUUGAUUUUCUUUUGAAUAGUCCAAGAAAAAUGCUUAAAAAUUGUUUGAAUUAGCUCUGGUUGUUUGGUUUGGCUCUCUGAACCUCAUGUUAAUUGAAAAUUUCUGGAAACCUGGUGAACUUUUUCACCUGGUUAGACAAAUGGUUUAAGCUUUGGCUUGGAGUUUGAAGUUCUUCUACUGUUCCAUUAGUUUCUUUAGGGUUGUUCACUGUUUGAUUGAUCAAAUUUUGGGUUGAUUGCUACUGUAUACUGCUGACCUCUCAUUUUUGUUAUUUUGCAUUCCAGGUAUUUCUCCAUCCACGAGUAACAAGUAAAUGUUGACUAUGUGAUUCAAGUGGAAAUUUGAUAAAAUGCAAGUUAUAUUUAACUUAGUUUUCUUUCUAUUUCUCUUACUGUUUUCACUGAUCUAUAGUAGAUUUCUAAUUAUAAAUGUCAACUAGGCUUUCCCCUUCACUACUUGUAUAUUUUUAAUCCAUGUGUGAGAGUGAGAUAUUUUAAAUCUAUGUUUUAGAAUAGGAAUAAGUCUGAAUUUGUAAUGCCAAAUAAACUAUGGACUUUAGCUUUUCAGUUUUAUUUUUGAUUUGAUGUUCUGGGUCACUGAUUUUUGUUUAGUUUCUGCUAAAGAUCAGUGAGGUUUUAGUUUUGAUGUUUAUCUAAAUUCAUUAAGAUGUUAGGUGUUGGCUUGUAUGUAUAUUGAUUUAC
RNAcentral lists this long non-coding RNA (744 nucleotides) under Nicotiana benthamiana. Its description in RNAcentral is "long non-coding RNA (NBEN_LNC024138)". Lineage: Eukaryota; Viridiplantae; Streptophyta; Magnoliopsida; Solanales; Solanaceae. The record is from RNAcentral.